Molecule: transfer RNA, 95 nt
Filed under: Streptomyces sp. TUS-ST3
Lineage: Bacteria; Bacillati; Actinomycetota; Actinomycetes; Kitasatosporales; Streptomycetaceae
Description: tRNA-Gly
Source: RNAcentral
AGCGGCGCCUGGAACGGGAGAUCCGCUCCCGGACCCUCCACAUGCGCGGCGACGCUCCCGGUGACGGCUACCGGUUCGACCCCGGCGUACUGCUG